This 1440-nucleotide ribosomal RNA is filed under the name uncultured Bordetella sp. Its description in RNAcentral is "partial 16S-23S ribosomal RNA intergenic spacer". It matches the Rfam family "Bacterial small subunit ribosomal RNA". The record is from RNAcentral. Lineage: Bacteria; Pseudomonadati; Pseudomonadota; Betaproteobacteria; Burkholderiales; Alcaligenaceae.
GGGAUGCUUUACACAUGCAAGUCGAACGGCAGCACGGACUUUUCGGUCUGGUGGCGAGUGGCGAACGGGUGAGUAAUGUAUCGGAACGUACUCAGUAGCGGGGAUAACUACGCGAAAGCGUAGCCAAUACCGCAUGCCGCCCUUCGGGGGAGCGGGGGACCUUCGGCCUCGCACUAUUAGAGCGGCCGAUAUCGGAUUAGCUAGUUGGUGGGGUAACGGCUCACCACAAGGACGAUCCGUAGCUGGUUUGAGAGGACGACCAGCCACACUGGGACUGAGACACGGCCCAGACUCCUACGGGAGGCAGCAGUGGGGAAUUUUGGACAAUGGGGAAACCCCGAUCCAGCCAUCCCGCGUGUGCGAUGAAGGCCUUCGGGUUGUAAAGCACUUUUGGCAGGAAAGAAACGGCACGGGAUAAUACCCCGUGCAACUGACGGUACCUGCAGAAGGGCACCGGCUAACUACGUGCCAGCAGCCGCGGUAAUAUGUAGGGUGCAAGCGUUAAUCUGGAAUUACUGGGCGUAAAGGGUGGUGCAGGCGGUUCGGAAAGAAAGAUGAAAUCCCAGAGCUUACUUUGGAACUGCAUUUUUAAUACUGAGUCAGGAGUGUGUCAGAGGGAGGUGGAAUUCGCGUGUAGCAGUGAAAAUGCAGAUAUGCGGAGGAACACCGAUGGCGAAGGCAGCCUCCUGGGAUAACACUGACGCUCAUGCACGAAAGCGCGGGAGCAAACAGGAUUAGAUACCCGGUAGUCCACGCCCUAAACGAUGUCAACUAGCUGUUGGGGCUUUCUGGCCUUGGUAGCGCAGCUAUCAUGAAGUUGACCGCCUGGGGGUACGGUCGCAAGAUUAAACUCAAAGGAAUUGACGGGACCCGCACAAGCGGUGGAUGAUGUGGAUUAAUUCGAUGCAACGCGAAAACCUUACCUACCCUUGACAUGUUCCGAAUCCCGAAGAGAUUUGGGAGUGUUCGCAAGAGAACCGGAACACAGGUGCUGCAUGGCUGUCGUCAGCUCGUGUCGAGAUGUUGGGUUAAGUCCCGCAACGAGCGCAACCCUUGUCAUUAGUUGCUACGAAGGGGCACCCCAACAAUGAGACUGCCGGUGACAAACCGGAGGAAGGUGGGGAUGACGUCAAGUCCUCAUGGCCCCGGCGGUAGCUUCACACGUCAUACAAUGGUCGGGACAGAGGGUCGCCAACCGCGAGGGGAGCCAAUCCUGUGUUCCGAUCGUAGUCCGGAUCGCAGUCUGCAACUCGACUGCGGAAGUCGGAAUCGCUAGUAAUCGCGGAUCAGCAUGUCGCGGUGAAUACGUUCCCGGGUCUUGUACACACCGCCCGUCACACCAUGUGGGGAGUGGGUUUUACCAGAAGUAGUUAGCCUAACCGUAAGGAGGGCGAUUACCACGGUAGGAUUCAUGACUGGGGUGAAGUCGUAACAAGGUAA